This 119-nucleotide ribosomal RNA is filed under the name Beta vulgaris subsp. vulgaris (sugar beet). The record is from RNAcentral. Lineage: Eukaryota; Viridiplantae; Streptophyta; Magnoliopsida; Caryophyllales; Amaranthaceae.
GGGUGCGAUCAUACCAACACUAAUGCACCGGAUCCAAUCAGAACUUCGCAGUUCAGCGUGCUUGGGCGAGAGUAGUACUAGGAUGGGUGACCUAUUAGGAAGUCCUUGUGUUGCACCCC